GCUGGGGGAAUGGAAGACGAGGUCAUACUCCCGCGCCAAGGGCGCCUGCCCUAUAACCAUUAGCAGCGCGGGGAUCCCAGGCGCUGCUCCCAGGAAAGAGCAUUUGCAUGGGUUACUGAGAGCAGCGUGACCUGCCGCCUGCCCUUCCAGCGGGGCGUUCCUGAUCGCGGAUGAUCCCUGAUCCCACAUAGUCCCUGAUCCCGCACCUCGGUGCUUCGGUGUCAGGAAGCAGGGGUACCUGGGCGCACACCACACCUUGCCACCCCCGCCCACUUCUCAGAUGUAACCACGGCUGGCGAAGGGCUGCAGCUUGGCCAAGAGAUCGGCAGUGUACAAAACCAUCCUCCUCUGCAGUUCUGGCUGGCUACUGACAUUAUCUCCUGCAGGAGAACCCCGCCCCCCACAGAAUUGGGCCCUCACUCCGAGAGACUCAGGCAUGGUUCUGAGGCCCUUCCCUCCCUUCCUGCUUCCCUCCCUCCUCCUCUCCCAUCGAAAAUUUCACACCUAACUAUGUAAGAGUAGAGCAAAGAGAAUGGUGUACCUCAGCAUGUGUUUACCUUGGGAAAAGCAACAGUGACGGCUGCUGCCACUGGGAGCAGAAGGUCCUCUUGCUAGUAGAUGGCAUCUGCAGAACUUCUGAAAGUGGAAAUAGGGAGCACAUGAGGAUGCUGAGACCACAGGCACGGACAGCACGUGUGCCUGCCCUGGCUCUCAGAGAGCACUGACCAAAAGUGCCUUCACUGCUCACUGCAAUGAGGUCCUGCUGUAUAGCACAGGAACUAUGUCCAAUCACUUGUGACAGAACAUGAUAGAAAAUAACAUGAGAAAAAGAAUGUAUGUGUAUAUGUAGGAGUUCCCAUUGUGGCUCAGUGGUAACAAACCUGACUAGUAUCCAUGAGGAUGUAAGUUCGAUCCCUGGCCUUGCUCAGUGGGUUAAGGAUAUAUCGUUGCUGUGAGGUGUGGUGUAGGUCAUAGACACACAGCUUGGAUCCUGCAUUGCUGUGGCUGUGGUGUAGGCCAGCAGCUGCACCACCAAUUAGACCCCUAACUUGGGAACUUCCAUAUGCCAAUGGUGCGGCCCUGAAAAAACAAAACAAAACAAAGAGGUAUAUAUAUGCAUAACUAGGUCACUUUGCUGUACAGCAGAAAUUGACAGAACACUGUAUUUUUUUUUCUUUGUCUUUUUAGGGCUGCACCCAUGGCAUAAAGAGGUUCCCAGGCUAGGG
Molecule: long non-coding RNA, 1226 nt
Filed under: Sus scrofa (pig)
Lineage: Eukaryota; Metazoa; Chordata; Mammalia; Artiodactyla; Suidae
Description: lncRNA (ENSSSCG00070027160.1)
Source: RNAcentral